This is an RNA transcript of Neopelma chrysocephalum (saffron-crested tyrant-manakin), 1168 nucleotides long. It is a transcript of the gene named DNA-directed RNA polymerase II subunit RPB3 pseudogene, with no coding region annotated. The transcript has a single exon. Lineage: Eukaryota; Metazoa; Chordata; Aves; Passeriformes; Pipridae. The record is from RefSeq and is a predicted model, not a curated record.
GAGCGGGGCCGGGAGCGGGAUCAGGCCGGGGAUUGGGGCCGGGUCGGGGCGGCCAUGCUGUACGCCAACCAGCCCACCGUGCGCAUCACCGAGCUGACGGACGAGAACGUCAAGUUCAUCAUUGAGAACACGGACCUGGUGGUGGCAAAUUCCAUUUGAAGAGUGUUCAUCGCUGAAGUCCCCACCAUAGCCAUCGACUGGGUCCAGAUAGAUGCCAACUCCUCCGUGCUCCACGAUGAGUUCAUUGCACACACGUUGGGCCUCAUCCCUCUCACCAGCGAUGACAUUGUGGAUAAGAUGCAAUAUUCCAGAGACUGUACAUGUGACGAGUUCUGCCCCGAGUGCUCCGUGGAGUUCACCCUGGAUGUUCGCUGCAACGAGGACCAGACCCGUCAUGUCACAUCCCGUGACCUCAUCUCCAACAAUCCCCGGGUCAUUCCGGUGACGUCUCGGAGCAGAGACAAUGACCCCAAUGACUACGUGGAGCAGUAUGACAUCCUCAUUGUGAAGCUGCGGAAGGGGCAGGAGCUCCGGCUGAGAGCCUAUGCUAAGAAGGGCUUUAGGAAGGAGCACGCCAAGUGGAACCCCACGGCGGGCGUGGCCUUCGAGUACGACCCAGACAACGCGCUGAGGCACACCGUGUACCCCAAACCAGAGGAGUGGCCCAAGAGUGAGUACUCGGAGAUCGAUGAUGAGGAUGCUCAGGCUCCCUAUGACCCCAACGGGAAGCCAGAGAGGUUCUAUUACAACGUGGAGUCCUGCGGUUCUCUGCGCCCAGAGACCAUCGUUCUGUCCGCAUUGUCCGGCCUGAAGAAGAAACUGAGCGACCUCCAGACCCAGCUGAGCCACGAGAUUCAGAGCGACGUCCUCACUAUUAACUGAGGUGGCUCCUUGCGAGAGAGUGCUGAGGUGUGAGUGAUGGAGCAGGUCCUUGCCUCUGCCUGGCCAUGAUCUGGGGAGAGGCUUUUACCUCCCCAUCUCCCUCUGCCUUUCCUGGCCCAGCUCUGCUAGUUGGUGACGCCUCUUCCCUGACCUUGCUUUCCAGGGAAAGCCAUUGUGUUGUGUGGGGUAAAACGGGAAGGGAAUCAAUCAGUGAGCAUCUUUGCUAGGACAGGCUUUGUCUCUAACUGAUUCGAGAGUUUUGGUUCUGGUUUUGGAUUCUGGCUGU